This is a long non-coding RNA of Saccostrea echinata, 568 nucleotides long. RefSeq lists it as uncharacterized. NCBI's taxonomy places the organism in Eukaryota, Metazoa, Mollusca, Bivalvia, Ostreida, Ostreidae. The record is from RefSeq and is a predicted model, not a curated record. The transcript has 6 exons.
AUUUUGAAAGGAAGUAAUGUUGCGUUUUGGGUUUUCUUUUUAAGUGCUCGCAUUAAGGUUCAAAGAAAAUGUAAACAGCGGAGACACAUAGAAAAUGCACAAGAUCCUAUGGUAUUCCAUAUUAAUUAACGUUAUUCUGUUUUGAUUAGAUCAAGUUUGACAAUACCUGGAGUGUGAAAGAACGAUUAGGGUCUGAGUCUCCCUUCUGAGAUUGCCAUCUUUGACUGGCCAACAUCUCUCUCCGCUUCACUAUUUCCUCGUCCUCAAAGAGCCGACCUUUCCCGUCCAAGAUAAGGAGAGCUAUUUACAACGGCGACUGGGAUUGUUGUGUUGUGGAAAUAGUAAUAGAAUGUGUUAGGAAUACAAGAUGAUACCUGUCCCGGACCGUCCAGUAUAAAACCUGGUGCGCACUUGGUAUUAGCUGCCUUUUCACAAUUCUGGCUCCGAGAUCUUUGAUAAAAUGUUUGUUGCUAUAUCGAAAAACUUAAAGUACCUUACCGUCUUUGUGGUGGAACUGAACCUUUGUUUGUUUACUUCCCAUUUUGAAUUUUUACAAUAAAACAGUUAC